AAGUCGUAACAAGGUAACCGUAGGUGAACCUGCGGUUGGAUCAUUAUUAUAAUGAUUGCUUUUAAAGGGAGGCAUAGGGGGAUCAACCUUUUUUGGGCGAAACUCCUUUACUUCUUUUUAAGAGUAACUAACCAUUUGUGCAAUGUGAUGUUUUUUGGGUCUAGCUUUAAACCUAGGCCCUGCCAUUUGUAAAACCAUUUUUAAACUUGACUAAAACUUUUAAAUAUAAAAUUUUAAAACUAUAGACAACGGAUCUCUUGGUUCUC
Molecule: unclassified non-coding RNA, 266 nt
Filed under: fungal sp.
Lineage: Eukaryota; Fungi
Description: partial internal transcribed spacer region
Rfam family: Eukaryotic small subunit ribosomal RNA (bases 1-46)
Source: RNAcentral